ACUGCUGCUGAAAGGGUGGCUUUCACUCCCUUGCUUUGCUGUUCUGUGCCUGCUGCUGUACUGGGCUGGCCCCACUUGCUGAUGGAUCCAAAAAUUAGUCUGAAAUAGAGACGGAUAAGAUUUUUUUUUUUUGAAUCCCUGCACCCUGAGGCUGCAGGUUUGUUGGCCCCAACUUAAGGGAGAAGGUUGGAAUCUUUGGUUAGACGAGCAGGAGAGGGAGGUGACCUCCUGUCCCUUGAAGAGCUGCUUCAGGUUAGAUCGACGUGAGCCAGUUGUGAGACCUGAAGUGAUCGUCUGCUUCGUAGCAAGGACAGAGGACACAUGUAUGAGCCAUGCAGGGGCACCUAACAGGUGUAUUAUGCUUUGAUAAACAUACUGACACCUUCCCCUAAAUUCUUCAUGGUAAUGAAGUGAUGUACUGUGCUUCCACCACAGUGUUUCUAUGGCUCUAGGAGUGCUUUUCUGUGCCUAGCAAAGUGCAACUGUGAUGAGAUCAGGGUGCAAACCUAUGGAACUGCCCCACUGCCUGGCACAAACCAGGGGCAUCCAGGAUGAUUGCAAACCUCCUCGGCUAAGCUGCAAGGACAAGUUUGUUGAGGAGUUGCGAGCGUAGGGUGUUAGUUUGGGAAAGAAACCUCCCACCAGCGAGCGUUACCUCAGGAGGCUGCGCUGCAACUGCACAUGCUGUUAAGAGUGGAGGGGCACUGCUCUGUGCAGGAGGCAUAACCGGCAGCUUUGCCUUCCUGACCCCUCAUACUGCGAUCCUGCACGCUUGCUGUGCAGUGAAGCAUGUUUCCCUCUGCACGAACUGCAUGAUGUUGGCUGCUCUGUUGGUGCCUUAACCUGGGCUUAUCUUGAAGUGUGGGUGCUUACCCAGUCACCUGGGCGGUAAAACUUUGUCCAUCCCCUUAGUCCUCUAAUUUCUGUAUGUAAAUAUAUCAUUUUAUUUAUAUUUCUCAUUUUCCUGUCUCUUUAUGUUACAUGUGUGAUGCUAGAGCAACCUCAACAAGGAGAUGGUGAAGUUGCAAAAGGAGUCGGUUUAUCUGAUUGUAUUUGUUUUCCUUCACUGUUCCUUAAAAAUAAUUAUAUGUGAUUUGUAAUAUUUGCUGUAGCCUGGCAAUAUGUAUAGCGGCAACAGCUCAGAUUCAAUCUCAGAUGAAGCCAUCAUCCUCCGCUAAUCAGGGUGUGGGAGAGGCAUGCAGACAACAUGUUCAGCCCAUUUAUUCAGUUAUGUAAUGGCCUUUUAAACAUUUUCCAUUUAUGGUCUCUAUUUAAUUUACUGUAAGUCACAAUGGUUUAAUGUAAAUUCAAGCCAUAACAUAUACCUGACAGCUCAACCAUAAAUCAGACCAACCUCUGGUCUUAGUGCAUUUAUUCUUCUAUGAAAUAACAGAAUGUCCAUUACUUGCCUUUUAAAACAGUCUGGAGAAUAUAAAUCAUUUUUGUUAAUGCCUUGAACAAACCAGUUCAGAGAGACUGGGUCUUUGCCCACAACAAAUGCAAGAAAGGUUUAGAAACUCUUCCUUUUAAAAAUAUUUUCACUCACCUUGUGUGUUAUCUGGCUUCGGCUGCGACUGAAAGAGAAAACAAGGUAGGGAAAAUCUCUCCUGCAGUGUAACUUGCAAACUUCCCAACGUCAGGAGCACGGGAAGGCUCUUUUUGCAAGAUUUCCAAGUGUCUCAUUAAAGGAGGUUUGGACUGGUGUCUGAACUAGGAUACUUACUGAACUAAGCAAAACCUUGGCUCUACUGUAAACAAGUCAUAGCAUGAGUUGCAGCAGUGUGUGCUUCCUCAUUCAUCUCCACGUUGGAGCUUUGCUCUCUUAGCUUUUCCAACCAGGAU
Molecule: long non-coding RNA, 1842 nt
Filed under: Anas platyrhynchos platyrhynchos (common mallard)
Lineage: Eukaryota; Metazoa; Chordata; Aves; Anseriformes; Anatidae
Description: lncRNA (ENSAPLG00000020528.1)
Source: RNAcentral